GCCUGGGUAGCUUAGUUGGUUAAGCAUCUGACUUCGGCUCAGGUCAUGGUCUCACGGCUGGUGAGUUCGAGCCCUGCCACAGGCU
RNAcentral lists this transfer RNA (85 nucleotides) under Felis catus (domestic cat). It matches the Rfam family "tRNA". From Rfam's summary of the family: Transfer RNA (tRNA) molecules are approximately 80 nucleotides in length. Their secondary structure includes four short double-helical elements and three loops (D, anti-codon, and T loops). The record is from Rfam by way of RNAcentral. Lineage: Eukaryota; Metazoa; Chordata; Mammalia; Carnivora; Felidae.